This is a non-coding RNA of Callithrix jacchus (white-tufted-ear marmoset), 3546 nucleotides long. The record is from RefSeq and is a predicted model, not a curated record. NCBI's taxonomy places the organism in Eukaryota, Metazoa, Chordata, Mammalia, Primates, Cebidae.
CAAAGAGUCUGAAUAAACAUUUCCCCAAAGCUUAUAUACAAAGCAUGUGAAAAUAUGCUAAACCUCAAUAGCUAUCAGGAAAAUGCCAAUCAAAACCACAGUGAAAUACUGCUUCGGCCCACUAGGAUGACAAUAAUGAAAAAGGCAUGAGAGACAGAUCCAAGAUGGCCGAUUAGGAGCAACUCAGGAUUGCAGUUCCCAGUGAAAGUGUGGAGGAUGAGUGGAUGCCACAUAUCCAGACGGAUUUUUAUUACCCACAGACCAGAAGAUUCCCAGGUGGAAGAGCCCCACGGGUUGCCAGCAUGGCUGUUUGUGUCUCUGCACAAAAUCCAGGCACCAUUUUAGCUGGCGAUUGGAGCUCCUGGGAGAUAGAGUCGCCCAUUCAACUGAUAAAAAAGGGGACUGAAACAGGGAAUCAGACCAGGAGAUUCCCAAGAAAAAAAAAAGCACCACGAAUCUCAGCAUGGCUGUUUCAGCAAGUGCAGUGGGUCACGGCACAUUUUCAACAGGCAAAUGGAACACCUGGGAGACAGAGUCGACCAUUCAACUGAAAAAAAAAAGUGGGGGGAUCUGAGGCAGGGAGCCAGGUGAUCGGGCUUGGCUGGUCUCACCCCCACAAAAAAAAAACAGCAAUCUGAAACACUCUAGAUUGAGAGUUUCACAGCAAGCACAGCUUAACUCAGGAUGGUCCAGCUCUGUGGGGGAGGGGUAUCCGCCAUUACCGAGGCAGUCCACCACUAUGGAGGUAGUCCACCAUUGCCGAGGCAGCCCAUCAUUACAGAGACAGUCCACCAUUACAGAGGUGGGCCCCCAUUGCCAAGGCAUUCUAACUAUACCAGUAUAAACAGGACUGCAGAGAAGUUCACACAGCAGCUGGGUGGACCCCAGAGCAGCUCAGCAAAGCCUCUGCAGGCAGACUGUGACUGGGCUGCCUCCUCACUGGGCAGGGCAGCCCUGAAAAAAGGCAGCAGCAUGACAGAAACUUAUAAAUAAAGCCCUAACUCCCAGGGACAGAGCACCUGGGGGAAAAAAAAGAGCGUUUAUACGUUCUGCUGCAGCAGACUUAAAUGUACCAGCCCAGCAGCUGUGAAUGAAAAACAGAGCUCAUAGUUCAGCACUUGAACUCCUAUAAUGGACAGACUGUCCCUUCAAGCAGCUCUCUGACCCCAUAUAUCCAAAGAGUCACCUCAUAAAGGAGAUCUCAGACUGACAUAUGGUGGGUAUCCUUCGGGGACAAAGAUAGCAGAAGAAGAAACUGGCAGCAACCCUUACUGUUCUGCAGCUGCUGCAGGUGAUCCCCAGGCAAGCAGGGCCUGGAGUGGACCUCAGCAGUCCUACAGCAGAGAGUCCUGACUGUUAGAAGGAAAACUAAUAAACAGAAAGAAAUAACUUCAUCAUCAACAAAUUGGACGUCCACUCAGAAACCCAAUCUGAAAGUCAACAACUACAAAGAUGACAGGUGGAUAAAUCCACAAAGAUGGGAAGAAACCAGCACAAAAAGGAUAAAAACACCCGAAACCAGAAUGCCUCUCCUCCUCCAAGGGAUCACAACUCCUCACCAGCAAGGGAACAAGGCUGGAUGGAGAAUGAGUGUGAUGAAUUGACAGAAACUGGCUUCAGAAGAUGGGUAAUAAGAAACUUCUGUGAGCUAAAAGAACAUGUUCUAACCCAAUGCAAAGAAACUAAGAACCUUGAAAAAAGAUUUGACAAAAUGCUAAUGAGAAUAAACAGCUUAGAGAGGAAUAUAAGUGAAUUGAUGGAGCUGAAAAACACAACACAAUAACUUCACGAAGCAUACACAAGUUUCAACAGCUGAACUGACCAAGCAGAAGAAAGGAUAUUAGAGGUCGAAGAUCAACUCAAUGAAAUAAAAUGAUAAGGCAAGAUUAGAGAAAAGGCAACCACUGGGGCUGAAGUUCCCGCCGGGUCAGUGACAGAUGAGAGAGAUGCUGCCUGGCCCGCCUCGGCUUUGAGGCGACAGAAGUGUCCCAGACCCCUUUCAUCUUGUUGAUGACAUCGAGCUCCAGGCAGACAUGUCCAUGGGGUUCUCCUUCGGGUCCAGGACUUUGGACCCCACCACCGUAGCCCCCGGCAGGACCAGCACAGGUGGCAGUUUCUCCUUUGGGACGGGAGUGUCUAGCAACCCUUCUGUGGGGCUCAAUUUUGGAACUCUUGGAGGUCCUGCAACUCCAGCAACUACACCUGCUCCUUCAAGCUGGUUUUGGAACCAGGCUCUUUGGAUCUAAACCUGCUACUGGGUUCACUCUAGGAGGAACAAAUACAGGGACACCAGCCACUACAUCUGCCCCUACAACAGGCUUCAGUUUAGGAUUCAAUAAACCUGCAGCAUCUGCCACACCAUUUGCUCUACCUAUUACUUCUACCUCAGCUAGCAGUCUCACUCUUUCCUCUGCUCUGACAUCAACUCCAGCAGCUUCCACAGGAUUUACCCCAAAUAAUUUGGGUGGGACAAUAGCCACAACUACAACUGCAUCAACAGGCCUCUCUCUAGGGGGAGCCUUAGCUGGUUUGGGAGGUUCACUUUUCCAGAGCACAGACACAGCAACAUCAGGACUAGGACAGAAUGCUUUAGGCUUGACUUUGGGAACUACAGCAGCUACUUCAAGUGCAGGCAAUGAAGGCCUUGGUGGCAUAGAUUUUAGUAGCUCCUCAGAUAAAAAGAGUGAUAAAACAGGAACAAGACCAGAGGAUAGUAAAGCUCUGAAGGAUGAAAAUCUACCUCCUGUCAUCUGCCAGGAUGUUGAAAAUCUCCAGAAAUUUGUCAAGGAGCAGAAACAAGCUCAAGAAGAAAUUAAUAGAAUGUCUUCAAAAGCAAUGCUUAAGGUACAAGAAGAUAUUAAAGCUCUGAAGCAGCUCCUGUCAUUGGCUGCCAAUAGACCACAGAGAAACACUCUCAACAUUGACAAAUUGAAAAUAGAAACUGCUCAGGAGUUAAAGAAUGCUGAAAUAGCUUUAAAAACCUAGAAGGCACCACCUGGACUUCAACAUAAAUAUGCAGCUCCUGCUGACUACUUCAGAAUCUUGGUUCAGCAAUUUGAGGUACAGCUUCAGCAAUACAGACAACAGAUUGAAGAACUAGAAAAUUAUCUUGCCACUCAAGCAAAUAAUUCACAUAUAACCCCUCAAGAUUUGUCAAUGGCUAUGCAGUAAAUUUAAAAAACAUUUGUAGCUUUAGCAGCACAACUUCAGUCUAUUCAUGAAAAUGUAAAGGUUCUGAAAAACAGUACCUUGGCUACAGGAAAAUGUUCUUGGGAGAUGCUGUUGAUGUGUUUGAAGCAAGACGAGCAGAAGCCAAGAAGUGGCAGAACACACCCAGAGUUACUACCGGACCCACCCCUUUCAGCACCAUGCCAAAUGCAGCAGCCAUUGCCGUGGCUGCAACACUUACACAGCAGCAACAGCCUGCUACAGGUCUGAAUGCAUUCAAGUUAUAGCUUCUUACUGUUCCAAUGCAGAACAUUUAUGUGCAUUUUUAUGUCUUCCAUUUGUGUGAGCACUGAAGAAAUUUCUAUGAGUAGCUGUUCU